This 588-nucleotide ribosomal RNA is filed under the name uncultured bacterium. RNAcentral describes it as "bacterial SSU rRNA". The stretch from base 1 to 524 matches the Rfam family "Bacterial small subunit ribosomal RNA", at positions 338 to 873 of the family's 1533-position model. The record is from RNAcentral.
CCUACGGGAGGCAGCAGUGGGGAAUAUUGCACAAUGGGCGGAAGCCUGAUGCAGCAACGCCGCGUGCGGGAUGACGGCCUUCGGGUUGUAAACCGCUUUCGCCUGUGACGAAGCGUGAGUGACGGUAAUGGGUAAAGAAGCACCGGCUAACUACGUGCCAGCAGCCGCGGUGAUACGUAGGGUGCGAGCGUUGUCCGGAUUUAUUGGGCGUAAAGGGCUCGUAGGUGGUUGAUCGCGUCGGAAGUGUAAUCUUGGGGCUUAACCCUGAGCGUGCUUUCGAUACGGGUUGACUUGAGGAAGGUAGGGGAGAAUGGAAUUCCUGGUGGAGCGGUGGAAUGCGCAGAUAUCAGGAGGAACACCAGUGGCGAAGGCGGUUCUCUGGGCCUUUCCUGACGCUGAGGAGCGAAAGCGUGGGGAGCGAACAGGCUUAGAUACCCUGGUAGUCCACGCUGUAAACGGUGGGUACUAGGUGUGGGGUCCAUUCCACGGGUUCCGUGCCGUAGCUAACGCUUUAAGUACCCGCCUGGGGAGUCGCGCAGCAACUACAAGAGUAGAGCGNGNGAGNGCGACGACGACGACGAGGAGUAG